Molecule: ribosomal RNA, 268 nt
Filed under: uncultured Staphylococcus sp.
Lineage: Bacteria; Bacillati; Bacillota; Bacilli; Caryophanales; Staphylococcaceae
Description: partial 16S ribosomal RNA
Rfam family: Bacterial small subunit ribosomal RNA
Source: RNAcentral
GUGCCAGCCGCCGCGGUAAUACGUAGGUGGCAAGCGUUAUCCGGAAUUAUUGGGCGUAAAGCGCGCGUAGGCGGUUUUUUAAGUCUGAUGUGAAAGCCCACGGCUCAACCGUGGAGGGUCAUUGGAAACUGGAAAACUUGAGUGCAGAAGAGGAAAGUGGAAUUCCAUGUGUAGCGGUGAAAUGCGCAGAGAUAUGGAGGAACACCAGUGGCGAAGGCGACUUUCUGGUCUGUAACUGACGCUGAUGUGCGAAAGCGUGGGGAUCAAA